GACGAACGCUGGCGGCGUGCCUAAUACAUGCAAGUCGAACGCUUCUUUUUCCACCGGAGCUUGCUCCACCGGAAAAAGAAGAGUGGCGAACGGGUGAGUAACACGUGGGUAACCUGCCCAUCAGAAGGGGAUAACACUUGGAAACAGGUGCUAAUACCGUAUAACAAUCAAAACCGCAUGGUUUUGAUUUGAAAGGCGCUUUCGGGUGUCGCUGAUGGAUGGACCCGCGGUGCAUUAGCUAGUUGGUGAGGCAACGGCUCACCAAGGCCACGAUGCAUAGCCGACCUGAGAGGGUGAUCGGCCACAUUGGGACUGAGACACGGCCCAAACUCCUACGGGAGGCAGCAGUAGGGAAUCUUCGGCAAUGGACGAAAGUCUGACCGAGCAACGCCGCGUGAGUGAAGAAGGUUUUCGGAUCGUAAAACUCUGUUGUUAGAGAAGAACAAGGAUGAGAGUAACUGUUCAUCCCUUGACGGUAUCUAACCAGAAAGCCACGGCUAACUACGUGCCAGCAGCCGCGGUAAUACGUAGGUGGCAAGCGUUGUCCGGAUUUAUUGGGCGUAAAGCGAGCGCAGGCGGUUUCUUAAGUCUGAUGUGAAAGCCCCCGGCUCAACCGGGGAGGGUCAUUGGAAACUGGGAGACUUGAGUGCAGAAGAGGAGAGUGGAAUUCCAUGUGUAGCGGUGAAAUGCGUAGAUAUAUGGAGGAACACCAGUGGCGAAGGCGGCUCUCUGG
RNAcentral lists this ribosomal RNA (733 nucleotides) under uncultured Bacilli bacterium. RNAcentral's name for it is "bacterial SSU rRNA". It matches the Rfam family "Bacterial small subunit ribosomal RNA", at positions 28 to 732 of the family's 1533-position model. The record is from RNAcentral. Lineage: Bacteria; Bacillati; Bacillota; Bacilli.